AUUGAACGCUGGCGGCAUGCUUUACACAUGCAAGUCGAACGGCAGCACGGGUGCUUGCACCUGGUGGCGAGUGGCGGACGGGUGAGUAAUGCAUCGGAACGUGUCCUAAAGUGGGGGAUAACGCAUCGAAAGAUGUGCUAAUACCGCAUAUUCUCUGAGGAGGAAAGUAGGGGAUCGAAAGACCUUAUGCUUUUGGAGCGGCCGAUGUCUGAUUAGGUAGUUGGUGGGGUAAAAGCCUACCAAGCCUGCGAUCGGUAACUGGUCUGAGAGGACGACCAGUCACACUGGGACUGAGACACGGCCCAGACUCCUACGGGAGGCAGCAGUGGGGAAUUUUGGACAAUGGGGGAAACCCUGAUCCAGCAAUGCCGCGUGUGUGACGAAGGCCUUC
Molecule: ribosomal RNA, 391 nt
Filed under: uncultured bacterium
Lineage: Bacteria
Description: bacterial SSU rRNA
Rfam family: Bacterial small subunit ribosomal RNA
Source: RNAcentral